Molecule: ribosomal RNA, 132 nt
Filed under: Rhipidolestes amamiensis amamiensis
Lineage: Eukaryota; Metazoa; Arthropoda; Insecta; Odonata; Megapodagrionidae
Description: partial 12S ribosomal RNA
Source: RNAcentral
UACAAUGGGGGUUAAGAAUUAUUUUUGGUUAGUAGUAAUUUUAUUAAUUAUUAUUUUUAUAAUUUUUAGGUGAAAUUUAUAAUUAUAUUUAGAAUAUUCCUUUUGAUUCUAUGAAAUUUAAAAUUAAAACAA